CAUGCUCUUCCUUCAUCUGUCU
Molecule: unclassified non-coding RNA, 22 nt
Filed under: Mus musculus (house mouse)
Lineage: Eukaryota; Metazoa; Chordata; Mammalia; Rodentia; Muridae
Description: oocyte_clustered_small_RNA7894
Source: RNAcentral